CCAAUCCCCAUGGGAGUCGGUCAGAUUAUACUCAAUAUAUGCAUUCGAGUUCCUGAGUUGGAACCCGGCGCCUCCAAAGACUUCCAUCCGCUGGGCGCUCGGCUAAGGUUUGCAAUGAAACAGUUUCCUAAAUAGCUCGAGACUUGGAGGUACUCCUAGGAAAACUUCGCACAGAUGUACAAAUAUAGCCAUGUGCAGUACUCCAUUGGGAUUCAAGUGGACGAGUUGAAGUUUGUAGUACUCGAGAAUACCUCUGAAGAAGUCGAAGGUAGGCACGGCCAGUCCCCUUUCCACGAAGUGAGCAAGCAUCACCGUCUCCGCCGGAUGUUCCUCAAACUGCCACGCAUUGGGAAAUGCGGGGCGCCAUUGCACGAUUUCCUUCGGCUGAAGAAGCUUGGCA
Molecule: long non-coding RNA, 400 nt
Filed under: Setaria italica (foxtail millet)
Lineage: Eukaryota; Viridiplantae; Streptophyta; Magnoliopsida; Poales; Poaceae
Description: long non-coding RNA (SITA_LNC005711)
Source: RNAcentral